Molecule: ribosomal RNA, 1370 nt
Filed under: metagenome
Description: bacterial LSU rRNA
Rfam family: Bacterial large subunit ribosomal RNA
Source: RNAcentral
AAAUAGGCAAUCCGUUGUAUAAUCCGAAGACGUGAUGUGGAGCGAAAUAAAGUAGUGAAGCGUGUGAGCCAUGUGCCGAGAAAAGCUGCUAUUGUGUAAUGCGUGCCCGUACCGUAAACCGACACAGGUGGAUGAGGAGAGAAUCCUAAGGCCGACGGAAGAAGCAUUGUUAAGGAAUUCGGCAAAAUGACCCCGUAACUUCGGGAGAAGGGGUGCCUGCGAGAGCAGGCCGCAGAGAAUAGGCUCAAGCAACUGUUUAGCAAAAACACAGGUCUAUGCGAAACCGAAAGGUGAAGUAUAUGGGCUGACGCCUGCCCGGUGCUGGAAGGUUAAGAGGAGAGGUUAGCGUAAGCGAAGCCUUGAAUUUAAGCCCCAGUAAACGGCGGCCGUAACAAUAACGGUCCUAAGGUAGCGAAAUUCCUUGUCGGGUAAGUUCCGACCCGCACGAAAGGCGUAAUGAUUUGAGCACUGUCUCGACAAUGCAUCCGGUGAAAUUGAAGUACCAGUGAAGAUGCUGGUUACCCGCGCCAGGACGGAAAGACCCCAUGGAGCUUUACUCCAGUUUGAUACUGGGAUUCGGUACUGCAUGUACAGGAUAGCUGGGAGACGAAGAAGGAUGGACGCCAGUCUGUCCGGAGUCGCUGUUGGGAUACCACCCCUGUAGUACUGGGUUUCUAACCAGUUGCCAUGAACUGGCAAUGGGACAAUGUCAGGCGGGGAGUUUGACUGGGGCGGUCGCCUCCGAAAGGGUAUCGGAGGCGCUCAAAGGUUCCCUCAGAAUGGUUGGAAACCAUUUGAAGAGUGCAAAGGCAGAAGGGAGCUUGACUGCGACACCGACGGGUGGAGCAGGUACGAAAGUAGGACUUAGUGAUCCGGUGGUAUAAAGUGGGAUUGCCAUCGCUCAACGGAUAAAAGCUACCCUGGGAUAACAGGCUUAUCACUCCCAAGAGUUCACAUCGACGGAGUGGUUUGGCACCUCGAUGUCGGCUCAUCGCAUCCUGGGGCUGUAGCAGGUCCCAAGGGUUGGGCUGUUCGCCCAUUAAAGCGGUACGCGAGCUGGGUUCAGAACGUCGUGAGACAGUUCGGUCCCUAUCCGGCGCGGGCGGAGGAUAUUUGAGAGGAGCUGUCCUUAGUACGAGAGGACCGGGAUGGACGGACCACUGGUGUAUCUGUUGUCGACCAACGGCAUGGCAGAGUAGCCAAGUCUGGAAGGGAUAAACGCUGAAGGCAUCUAAGCGUGAAGCCCCCCUCAAGAUGAGAUAUCCCUCCUUCGGGAGUAAGACCCCUUGAAGACUACAAGGUAGAUAGGGCAGAGGUGGAAGCAUGGCAACAUGUGGAGCUGACUGUUACUAAUAGGUCGAGGGCUUAGU